Molecule: ribosomal RNA, 514 nt
Filed under: uncultured bacterium
Lineage: Bacteria
Description: partial 16S ribosomal RNA
Rfam family: Bacterial small subunit ribosomal RNA
Source: RNAcentral
AGCGAACGCUGGCGGCGUGCUUAACACAUGCAAGUCGAACGUGAAAUGCAGCAAUACAGAGUAAAGUGGCGUACGGGUGAGUAACACGUGGGUAAUCUACCAAAGAGCCUGGAAUAACCGACAGAAAGGUUGGCUAAUACUGGAUAGUUCAAAUGAAAAAUAAUGUUUCGAUUGGGAAAGGGAGCGAGCAAUCGCCUUCACUUUUUGAUGAGCCCGCGUCUGAUUAGCUAGUUGGUAGGGUAAUGGCCUACCAAGGCGACGAUCAGUAGCUGGUCUGAGAGGAUGAUCAGCCACACUGGAACUGAAACACGGUCCAGACUCCUACGGGAGGCAGCAGUGGGGAAUCUUGCGCAAUGGACGAAAGUCUGACGCAGCCACGCCGCGUGAGUGAAGAAGGCCUUCGGGUUGUAAAGCACUGUCGGAAGGGACAAAAACGUUUAAGGUUAAUAGCCUUAGAUCUUGAUGGUACCUUCAAAGGAAGCACCGGCUAACUUCGUGCCAGCCGCCGCCGUAA